UUUAAGCAGCUUUUCAUUAAAUCACACUUAACUUUUAAAUAAAAGUGACCAACUCUAGUUGAAAGUGCAAAUUGGAAACAAAUAGUUUUUUUUUUCAUUCAACAAAAAAAAACGAGAAAGAACACAUUUUCCGCAUUUUUUAUUGUCAUCAUUUUAAUUUCGAAAUAAUCAACCUCUGACAGAGGCAUCAUGCUCCACUUUAAUGAAGAAAACCCCUUGACAGAGACAGAGUCACAAAGAGCGAGGGAUAUGCAUGGCGAGGUCAAAGAAAGGGAAAGUGGAAAAUAAAUUGAAAACUCAAAUCAAAGUCAAAGUAAAAAGUAACUGGAAAAAAUUGUAAUUAUUACAUGGAAAAGAAGAUUAAUGCCUGCACGAAUAUUUCGGAACACGCUUUGGGCUCUUUGGGAUGACUUUGGAUGACUUAUGUUGUGGGGUCUUAAUCUCUAUGGGAUGAGGAGAACAAGAGGAGACGGGGGAAAUCUCUGACAGAUGGAUGAAUAUAUAUUUUUUCUUUGCAGAUUCGCCAAAUCGUGUUUGCACGCGGGCAUUAUGCAAUUUGCCUCCUCAACUCGUUAUUUUCAUUUUAAGACUGGCUUUGCCUCACUUGGCCAGUUGCGUUUGUUUUUUCUCUCAUUCCCUCUUGCCUCUUUCUAGCUCUUGGCAACUCUUAGCGACCUUGAACAAAAAUAUAAACGCCUUCCAACUAUGCCAAGGAAUCGGCAUACUCAAAAAAGUAGCAAAAAAAAGGUGCGGACCUCAAUGAAAACCUUAGGUCCACCACAGCUGGGGACCUCAUUAAACAAAUGGUCACAAUGAACUUGGGGGCUCUGAGGGUCAACAAAUGCUGGGAAGUCUCAUUGUACUGUAAUCAAGACGUCUUAUCCGCCAUCAAGCCAGAUACUCGAUGAGUUACAGUAGGUAUAUAGACUUCAAUGAGUACUCACAGUUACAGAUGGUUGACCUACUAUAUUCUGUCACCAAUUGUGAAGGUCGGGGACAGUCUCAUCAGUGCUGGAAAAUCGAAAGUUCAUUGAUUAUUUUAUUGAUUCAAGAAUGGAGUGCCUCGGACGUUUUCCGGCUGGUCAGCUACACUUG
Drosophila willistoni is the source of this 1095-nucleotide long non-coding RNA. RefSeq lists it as uncharacterized. The record is from RefSeq and is a predicted model, not a curated record. Lineage: Eukaryota; Metazoa; Arthropoda; Insecta; Diptera; Drosophilidae. The transcript is spliced from 4 exons.